AUAAAAUUUGUUUCUGAAUGAAUGUAAACAUUACAUGUUAGGCUAAGGGCAUUGCUACUUUUUAAAACUUGAAUUUGUUUUCGUUUUGUUACGUACUGAUAUGAAAGUGAAAGUAGAAACCUUGUAUGUCAGUUGGCGUUAUGUAUGUUGAGAUCGUUAUCAAGUCCGGAUUCCUUCUUCAACUUAAUGACAAAUGUUUGUUUUUAUGGCCUAUAGAUGCAUUCGGCAACUUGAGUUCAGUGUCACAGUGCUGUUUUUUCAGUCCAAAGAGCCCGAAGCUGAUAAGACUGGCGAUUGAUCCUGAAGCUGAUUUGACAGACGAUUGCAUCAUCACAAUAUUGAAGGUUCAAUAUACAGUCAGCCUCUCAUAAGAUAAAGAACAAAUCCCAAGAUCCAAGGCUUGCUUUAAAGUUAAGAGACCAUUCUGAGCCACAAAGAAAUUGUUCAGGAAGAGGAGAAGUGGUGGAUAUUCAUUUUUGUUACGGUACUGUUCAAAGAGAUUUUCAAAAUGGUCAUGGAAGAUCAAAGGGAGGACAACUGAAAAAAUUGAAAGAUACAGAAGGAAAAAGAACAAGGAAAUAAAUGGAAUAAUUAUGAAAUGGGGAGGAUGUACACAAUCUUGUCUGAAUUUUAGCUGUGAAAAUUUCCCAUAUUCUUAUUGUAUGCUGAAAUAAUCAAUAACUUGAUUUUUCAUAAAUUUACAAUAGAGAAUACAUGACAAAUGUUAUUGCUGAUAUUUCAAUUUUGCUUUGGACACUUUCAUGUCAUAUGGUAUUUUUAUACAUGAACUAAAUAUGUU
This is a long non-coding RNA of Saccostrea cuccullata (small rock oyster), 799 nucleotides long. RefSeq lists it as uncharacterized. The transcript has 3 exons. NCBI's taxonomy places the organism in Eukaryota, Metazoa, Mollusca, Bivalvia, Ostreida, Ostreidae. The record is from RefSeq and is a predicted model, not a curated record.